This 1704-nucleotide ribosomal RNA is filed under the name Streptomyces stelliscabiei. RNAcentral's name for it is "bacterial SSU rRNA". The stretch from base 1 to 1410 matches the Rfam family "Bacterial small subunit ribosomal RNA". Lineage: Bacteria; Bacillati; Actinomycetota; Actinomycetes; Kitasatosporales; Streptomycetaceae. The record is from RNAcentral.
GCAGUCGGACGAUGACCACUUCGGUGGGGAUUAGUGGCGAACGGGUGAGUAACACGUGGGCAAUCUGCCCUUCACUCUGGGACAAGCCCUGGAAACGGGGUCUAAUACCGGAUACAACCACUACAGGCAUCUGUGGGUGGUGGAAAGCUCCGGCGGUGAAGGAUGAGCCCGCGGCCUAUCAGCUUGUUGGUGAGGUAACGGCUCACCAAGGCGACGACGGGUAGCCGGCCUGAGAGGGCGACCGGCCACACUGGGACUGAGACACGGCCCAGACUCCUACGGGAGGCAGCAGUGGGGAAUAUUGCACAAUGGGCGAAAGCCUGAUGCAGCGACGCCGCGUGAGGGAUGACGGCCUUCGGGUUGUAAACCUCUUUCAGCAGGGAAGAAGCGAAAGUGACGGUACCUGCAGAAGAAGCGCCGGCUAACUACGUGCCAGCAGCCGCGGUAAUACGUAGGGCGCGAGCGUUGUCCGGAAUUAUUGGGCGUAAAGAGCUCGUAGGCGGUCUGUCGCGUCGGAUGUGAAAGCCCGGGGCUUAACCCCGGGUCUGCAUUCGAUACGGGCAGACUAGAGUGUGGUAGGGGAGAUCGGAAUUCCUGGUGUAGCGGUGAAAUGCGCAGAUAUCAGGAGGAACACCGGUGGCGAAGGCGGAUCUCUGGGCCAUUACUGACGCUGAGGAGCGAAAGCGUGGGGAGCGAACAGGAUUAGAUACCCUGGUAGUCCACGCCGUAAACGGUGGGAACUAGGUGUUGGCGACAUUCCACGUCGUCGGUGCCGCAGCUAACGCAUUAAGUUCCCCGCCUGGGGAGUACGGCCGCAAGGCUAAAACUCAAAGGAAUUGACGGGGGCCCGCACAAGCAGCGGAGCAUGUGGCUUAAUUCGACGCAACGCGAAGAACCUUACCAAGGCUUGACAUCGCCCGGAAAGCAUCAGAGAUGGUGCCCCCCUUGUGGUCGGGUGACAGGUGGUGCAUGGCUGUCGUCAGCUCGUGUCGUGAAAUGUUGGGUUAAGUCCCGCAACGAGCGCAACCUUUGUUCUGUGUUGCCAGCAUGCCCUUCCGGGGUGAUUGGGGACUCCAAGGAUACUGGCCGGGGUCCACUCCGAAGGAAGGUGGGGAACAACUUCAAAUUCUUCAUGCCCCUUUAUGUCUUGGGGCUGGCAACUUUGCUCAAAUGGGCAGUGGCAAAUGAUCCUCCCAAACCCUUUGGGGCGGAUCGAAUUCCAAAAAGCCUGGUCCAAUUUCGGAAUUGGGGUUCCUAAAUCCUAGCCCCAGUAAAAGUCAGAGAUUCGUAAGAACUCGCAUAAACCCGUAUUCGGCUGCGGUAAACAUAUGUCCGCGUCCUAUCUACCCCGUCGCCUUAGAAAAUCUGAAAUAGCGGUUAAGACCGGGAGGUCCUUGUUUCACCGCUCCUGGGAUGGGGGGAUAGUAUAUUAGAACUAGAAGGAUGGAAAGCUUGAUAUGAACUCACACAAUCGUAGAGCUGCGCGAGGGCAUACCUAUAUUGAAAAGUCCCCGCCUAGAAAGAUGGGGGUGUUGUGAGAGGUUAUAUGUGCUGUUCGUGCUUAUUGAGAGUUGUUGUCAUAGAGUGAUAUAUUGAUUGACUGAUUGCAUCCAAUAAGUGUUAAUACACAGUUGCUAUCCAUGAUAGCGACCUGGAGUACUUGUGGAUCGAAGGAAGCGAAUUUGGCGUUAGACGUGUCUGUAA